AUUACUUUGAGUAAGAACAGGUAAUUGCAAGAGUCAUGGACCUACUCAAUCUGCAGAUUCCUCCAUUUGUUAGAAUUGAUCUUCUCCAAAUCAUUUUUACUCAGACCGUGAGUUUAGAUAAAAGAUAUAUGAACUGGAACCUCAGGGUAGCAAGUGUGCAUGGGAAAAACGCUCCAUUGCUGUUCAUCAGCUCUAUUGAGGUUUCGUUCUCUGAAGGGCUAAACAUGAAAGAAGCGUUUCUACAUAAACAACCACUUCGGCUAAAAAGGUAGUGCCAGUGUCACUCAUUUUCUAUGCUUUUAGCACAUAAUAUUGCAGUGGUUCCCAAACU
Molecule: non-coding RNA, 331 nt
Organism: Camellia sinensis
Lineage: Eukaryota; Viridiplantae; Streptophyta; Magnoliopsida; Ericales; Theaceae
Source: RefSeq, a predicted model, not a curated record